Long non-coding RNA from Lineus longissimus, 1559 nucleotides. RefSeq lists it as uncharacterized. Lineage: Eukaryota; Metazoa; Nemertea; Pilidiophora; Heteronemertea; Lineidae. The record is from RefSeq and is a predicted model, not a curated record. The transcript has 3 exons.
GCGUGUGCCAAAUAUGGGAAACAAAAUGGCGUCGGCUGGUGUGAAAAAAUAAACCGCUUUGCCGAAGUGGCGAGCUGUCGAGUAUUUUGAGCAAAGAACGACGGUGGAAUGAAGGAAUAAAAUAAAGGAAUAGCCUUAAAUGCUAAUCAAUGAUCCAUCCUGCCCAACUGAAAAGGUUAGGGUGCUGUUUAAAUGUUACUGAGCGUGUGAUUUUGAGAAAGCGCGAGCGUGUUUGUCCGGAAAUAGAUCAUCCGCGAAACGGAAUAGACUUCACUCCUCCAUACGUGUACUGUGUGGGCCCGUGGGGGCUAUCAAAUUUGCUGACAAGCAAAUUUCAAAUUUCUAGUCUGAUUUUGUUUCUUGAUAAGUGCUCUUUUGUUUCGAUACUGUGCAUAUUUUACGGGAACCAGGGACUAGACGGUAGAUAGGUACUAGGACUAGUAAAGGUAUGGAAAUGGUGCUCACUCAAGCAGUCAAGGCGCUGUAAAAAAGUUCACAAAUGUCUACAAAAACAGGUGUCCCGUUAGUCUCUUUUUGAAAAUGUUCACAGACUCUGAUUCUCUGAUAUUCCUUGGAAGUUCAUUCUGGAGUCUGGGUGCACUGACACUAAAGGCCUUGUCACAACCACAAUGUUUGGAUACAGGCACGGCCAACAGCAAUUGUUCAGCUGAACGAAGUGACCGCCCUGGCUUGUACACAGUCAGAAGAUCCCUGAUGUAGCUGGGAGCUUGGCCCUUCAAGGCCUUGAAAGUCAGCAGCAGAACCUUGAAAACCACACGGGACUGCUUAGGCAGCCAAUGAAAGUAAUAGGGGAGGUUUUGGAUGAUCCAUGUGCUUCCAUAUUGUGACAGCAACGGCUGCCUCGUCAUCAUCUUAUGGCCGAGGUUCUGGGAUUUACUUGAGAAGCGGUACCCGUUGUAUGACGUCAUGAGGCCGAUGCUGAUGGUGCUGGAGAAACUGGUCCAGACCCCCACCAGCUUCACCAGACCAGAGCGGGUUGUCCUCCUCUGUACCGGCCUGAAGCGCCCAGAGCAGAUGAAGGUCCAGAAGUGUGCCAGCAUGCUUCAUGGAAGGAUAGUCACUGAAUUCUCACCUGAAGUAGACUAGCGUAAACAGUUGAGUCAUGUGAACAGUGAAGGGAUGUGCGCGCGAACUCUCAAGUACCUGAACGCAGUCCUCCUGGGAAAAUGGAUCCUGAACUGAUGUUAUCCCAAAUGACAUAACUGUUCCUUAUCACGCCAAAUCAGGGAUCGUAUCUGGCUGAUUGGUGUUACUUCAUCAUUCACGAUCUAAAGGAUAAGAUUAAGAUGCAGCGUCACUUCCGGAUGUGUACAGCCCCGACAACUUGGUUCAUGGAAUGCAUCACUGGGUUUCAACUGCUUGAUCUGCCAGAAGGUAACGCAGACUGAACUUGUGAGCUGCACCAUCGCAGACAUCAUAUUGGAUUGAUGUUUGUGAUAUAUAACGUGUACAAUAGUCAUUUUCUAACGAAUUAUAUUCUACAAUCUAAAAGCAUGUAUUGUUUCACUCACUACCAAUAUCAUUUUUCCUGCAUGUCA